UGCCAGCCGCCGCGGUAAUACGGAGGGUGCAAGCGUUGUCCAGAUUUAUUGGGUUUAAAGGGUGCGUAGGCGGAUAAUUAAGUCAGUGGUGAAAUCCAACAGCUCAACUGUUGAACUGCCAUUGAUACUGGUUAUCUUGAGUACAGUUGAGGUAGGCGGAAUUUAUGGUGUAGCAGUGAAAUGCAUAGAUACCAUAAAGAACACCGAUAGCGAAGGCAGCUUACUGGACUGUAACUGACGCUGAGGCACGAAAGCGUGGGGAGCGAACAGGAUUAGAUA
RNAcentral lists this ribosomal RNA (279 nucleotides) under uncultured bacterium. RNAcentral's name for it is "partial 16S ribosomal RNA". It matches the Rfam family "Bacterial small subunit ribosomal RNA", at positions 506 to 784 of the family's 1533-position model. The record is from RNAcentral.